AUGUGGAGGAAUUUAGUCUCACAAUCACAGACAAUAAAUAUUAUCUGAAAGUUGGGUUAUUGUUGUUUAUCAGCACAAUACAAAAAGAUUAAUGUUAGAAAUAUUCCAGUUGAGACUCUAGAAUAUCAGGAUUUAUGUAAAUUUACCUCAAUAAUAUGAAUGUUCAGGUUAAGAUUGUGCAGUGAUAUUUAUUAUGUAAGUUUAGCUUAUUAAAAUUUAUGACUCUGCACUAAAAUAUUAUUUAAAUUGACAUCAUUAUUAUAAUAUUUAGGGUCAGACCCUACAGUAUUGAGAUUAAGAAAUCAAAUAUUCUAUAAACUGAACUCAUUUGGAUAUAUUUAAGUGAGACUCUACAAUAUUAUUUGACACAAAUCUAUCUAAAUUUUAAUCAUUUUUAUUCCAAACAUUUACUGGCCUGAUUUAAAUAUUAAAAUCACUCCUUUCUAAUCCUCUGCUGUACGUUCAAACCUGAGGCCUUAAAUAGAAACACACAAGUAUCUGUUUGAAGGAACUUCUGCAGAGUCCUGGUUCCAGAACAUGAUGAUAGAAUUAUAGACAAACUUUAACAAAAGCUGCCUGAGAGUUUACAGGUUUUUAUGUUGGAUUUCUUCAGUAAUUUAAUGAGCGUUAUCAGCAAAAAUCAAGUGUUCAUUUGAUGAACUUAAUUUCCUAAAACAUCCAGAAUUGGAGCUCAUAUCUUUGGCAGCUGUAAAGUUUCUGCUCCUUCAAAGUUCACAACACAAUGAAUGAAUUCCUAAAACACUCUCAAUGCUGGAGAGCGUUUGUGAUGCUGAAGCAGUGAUCAGUUUUUCUGUUUCUUCUCUGGAGAUGCACAAUGAGGGACGUCUGCAGAGACUGAGAAAGAGUCUCACCACAUCCUGACAUGAGGAAAAAGACUUUAUUGAAGACUACAAUGAGAAAAACUAUCAGACAGCAGACGGCAUGCAUUCAAGUCUGUAGCUGCUGAAUUCAUGGAUGAAUCAUCUGCCACUAGAGAAGAAGACCAUCAAACAUCCACGUCAGCUGAUGGAGGUCCAAGAGUCUCACCGAACAACCAACCUACAGAGUGAAGACCUCGAAUCUGAUUGGACGGCCUCCUAUUCAGCCACAUGCUGUUAGAUUGUUCCAGAUAAGACAAGUACAAGAUUCUUCAGAGCCGUUCUACCACGAGCCUGACAGGAAGAACUCCAACAGCUACUGAAUGUUCCUGUGCUUCCCUCAAGGCUACAGGAGGAGCCCUACGAGGACGAGCUGGUCCACCUGAUGGCGGCCAGUCGCUGCGGUUCAAAGCCAACACCGACUACGUGGACUUCUACUGGACCACACGGAGGCCUUCAAACCGGACCAAC
This is a long non-coding RNA of Amphiprion ocellaris (clown anemonefish), 1349 nucleotides long. NCBI's taxonomy places the organism in Eukaryota, Metazoa, Chordata, Actinopteri, Pomacentridae. The record is from Ensembl.